UUAGUGAGGCCUUCUGACUGGCGCCGAUACUCUGGCAACAGAGCGCCGGAUGCCGGAAAGUUGGUCAAACUUGAUCAUUUAGAGGAAGUAAAAGUCGUAACAAGGUUUCCGUAGGUGAACCUGCGGAAGGAUCAUUACCGAUACAGUCCGACAACAACUUUGUUGUUUGCCCUGUGAACCGUACCUGACCAUUAUUAGGGGUCGGCCGGCCAGGCCGUUAAAUGGCGAUCGGACGCGACCGGACACAAGGAAGUUCGCGGCCGCCUCGCCAGCCCCGCCGGUGUUUUUUACAACGUACGCGUCUGUGGUCUGAUAUUGCGGCCUGCCCGAUGGCGGCCGACAGUUGAAAAAUGAAAGAGAGACAACUUUUGACGGUGGAUCUCUUGGCUCACGCAUCGAUGAAGAACGCAGCCAGCUGCGAUAAGUAGUGUGAAUUGCAGAAUUCAGUGAAUCAUCGAAUCUUUGAACGCAAAUGGCGCUCUUGGGUUCUCCCAGGAGCAUGUCUGUCUGAGUGUCGGAUAUCAUCCAUCGCGAGAGCGGGCGCCAGCCCGCGCUUGCGGCGUUGAGGCGUCACGGCCCACCCUGCGGCGCGGCCGUGUCCCUUGAAAGGCAGCGAGACUCGCUGCGGUCUGUUUCCCACAGCGCAGCAGCGGAGGCCAAAAGUGUUGGCGAUCCUCCGCGCGCUGGCGGGUCCCUGCCGCGCGAGUUGUCCAGGCGAGAGUUUCAUUUAUCUCUUGACCUCAGAUCAGGCAAGGCUACCCGCUGAAUUUAAGCAUAUUAAUAAGCGGAGGAAAAGAAAC
Molecule: unclassified non-coding RNA, 800 nt
Filed under: Echinophyllia glabra
Lineage: Eukaryota; Metazoa; Cnidaria; Anthozoa; Scleractinia; Lobophylliidae
Description: sequence contains ITS1, 5.8S rRNA gene, ITS2
Rfam family: 5.8S ribosomal RNA (bases 364-517)
Source: RNAcentral